CUGCAGAGAGUUCAGUAGGGAUUGCUGGGCAUGAAAGAUAUACACAUACAUUUUAUUUGAACCCUCAGGGAGGAAGGAGACAGUACAGAUACCAAGUAGUCCCGCGACGGUUAGGAAUAUUCACCCACCACAUGGCUCGCAUAUUGAGAGAGGAAACGGAAGAUGCACCAAAAGGGUGUCGUCCUAAGCAGAGAAGUGAUGGGUGGAUGGAAAUAGAGUUGGGAGAAUUCUUUGUCAAG
RNAcentral lists this unclassified non-coding RNA (239 nucleotides) under Hevea brasiliensis (rubber tree). The record is from RNAcentral. Lineage: Eukaryota; Viridiplantae; Streptophyta; Magnoliopsida; Malpighiales; Euphorbiaceae.